Long non-coding RNA from Pongo pygmaeus (Bornean orangutan), 2562 nucleotides. RefSeq lists it as uncharacterized. The transcript has 3 exons. Lineage: Eukaryota; Metazoa; Chordata; Mammalia; Primates; Hominidae. The record is from RefSeq and is a predicted model, not a curated record.
GCCUGUCUCCAGGGUCUUCAUGAAUCACCAGGCUCAGAAAAGCAGGUGCUGGAGAACCUGCAGCCCAAGUCUACAGCAGUUUAGAUGGCAGCUUUUCCUGGGGGUCAGGAGCCUGCUCUGAAGAUUAGGCCAAGGCCCUGGGGAUACUCAUGGCCCAAUCUAUCUUUUUCCUUCAGUCCGCUCCAGGAUUCAGAUUUCCAACCGUCUGAACUCGGCAUAGAUCAUCAGCAGAUCCAACAAAAGGAGCAUGGGAACCUUUUCUAUCCCUUUCAAACCUCCAACCACUCUGUCCCACACUCUCCUUCAUCUCCUACUUUAAAUGGAAAAAAAUAGACAUUGUUAGCCAGGAAACACCUUCAUUUUCCUUCCAAAUCCACAAACCUAUUUUCAUCUGUGUUUAUCUUUCUUCCCUCUUGUCACAAGGCAGAAGGGCAGCGACCCUUCUCAUGGGGGGAGGCCAGUCUUCCCUUAUGAGUUCCCGAUCCCAUCCCCAGGCCGUCUUAGAGACCCUGCCCCACUACUUAACCCCUCUGCUCCUUGAAUCCUGUCACUGCCUCUCUAACGGGACCUUGCCAUCAGCAUCCGAACAGUGCCUCCUUUCUGACCGCCCCUCUCCACCACAACACACUCUGUCCUCUUCACAGUCAAGCCUUUUGAAGAGCAGACACCUGCUCACACGCGCUGCCUCCACCUCCCCACCUUGGAGUCACCUUCCACUCCUCCCAUUUGGUGAGACUCAGGGGAAGAGAAAGAGAUGCCACCACUUGAUGGGACGAAAGACAAGGUCUCCUCGCAAAAAUCCUGCAAGGUGGGAGACGGAGAUAUUGUCAUCUUUGGAAACAGUCUGCUGCUGGUGCCUUAAUGAUGUUUCAUUCCUGAAGUUACAGAGAAACCUAUUUCAAUGCACUCCUGCUUAGCAGACAGCCUUGGGAAGAGGCACCAGAUAUCUCUUUUUCUGCCUGUGCACAGAGAAGAAGUCAUGAGAAGACACAGCAAGAAGGCAACCAUCUGCAAGCCAGGAAGAGAGCCUUCACCAGAAUCCAACCCAGACAGGACCUUGAUCCUGGACCUCCAGCCUUCAGAACCAUUGUUUAAGCUACUAGUCUGUGAUGUUUUGUUCUGGCAGCCUGAACAACCUAAUACACAGUCUUAAGAGGUAGAUAUCAUCCCCAUUUAUAGGUGAAGAAACUGAGGCUCAGAGAGUUUGACUUUACUAAGAUUGACAGGUAGUAAGCCACUCUGAGCAUGUCCUGGAUGUAGUGCCAUGCCCUGUAAUGCACCAUCCAAUGAGACCAGGAAACAACUGGGCCUUCACUUGACCAGGAUGAUAUAUAGGCCUAUCAUUGAUAUGUUAGUGUGAGCAACAAAUGCCAGAACCAGAUGAUACCAGUUGCAAACAGUAGACCACAGCCAGGAGAGACCAUUUCAUGUCAUGACAUCACCAUCUUGUUUGAGCGAAUGCUGCAGCUACCAUUGUGGGGCAUUGCUAGGGACCAUGUCCUGGCAUGUGGGAAACUACAACUACUGACCCAAUCAAGGAACUCAAUUCACCCUCCUCAAUAUACAGGAUUGGCUGCAUCUCUGGACACAAUCUGGACUUUCUACCCAUUGUACCAUCUGUAAGAGGCAGUGGGGUAAAUAAAAUAUAGAAAUUAAAGAGAAGACCAAAGUAUUGCUUGACAUUAGCAUAAAGUAAGUCAAAUCAAUAAAAAGACAACUCAAAAAUAGGCAAGUUACCUAAAUCCAUACUUUACUCCUUUGAGACAAGCACUUUAUAAACAUUACACUGCUCAGUUAUCAAAAUGGCUGUAUGUACCUGGUAUUGUUGUCAUCCCUUUUUCCCAGAGAAAACUGAAGUAGAGGGAAAUAAGUCUCUGAGGACACAUGGCCAACCAGAGAACCAGGAUCUAGAAAUGCAAGACACAGAAGUGCAGAGCCCAUGCUUCUAACCUUUAAGGACUAUGAAGGAGCAGAGAGGAAUUGGGAUGAGGUGGUCACAGCAGUGGCUGAAGGAAGCUAAAAGAAGGAAAAAUUUCUCCUCCAAAGGAGUAGAACAGUGUUGCUUAGGUCUUAGCCCUGACUACACUUUUCUCAAAACUCUGCACUCAACCUUCCUGCUUAGUUCCUCCUCUUAUCUUGCCCUCAGACUGAUCCGUUCCCAACUGAGUUGACAAAUUCAUGUCCACUCAGAACCUCAAAUGUGACCUUGUUUGCAAACAGGGUCUUUGUAGAUGUAACCAAACUAAGGGAAGUUCAUAGUGGAUUAGAGUGGGCCCUCCCAAAUCCAAUGUUUGCUGUUCUUAAGAAAACACACACACACACACACACACACACACACACAGAUGGAAGAAUGUGUCAUGUAAAAGUGGAGGCACAGAUUUGAGUGAUGUAUCUACAAGGUAAGGGACACCAACGGUUGCCAAGAACCGCCAGGAUCCAGGAGAGAGCCAUGGAACAGUAUCUCCCUCAAAGCCUCCAGUAGAAACUAAUCCUGCUAACAUCUGGACUUUGUACUUCCAGAGUUCACAUCUGUGAGAAAAUAAAUUUCUGUUGUAUUAAGCC